This 253-nucleotide ribosomal RNA is filed under the name uncultured bacterium. Its description in RNAcentral is "partial 16S ribosomal RNA". It matches the Rfam family "Bacterial small subunit ribosomal RNA", at positions 524 to 776 of the family's 1533-position model. The record is from RNAcentral.
GACAUAGGUGGCGAGCGUUAUUCGGAAUUACUAGGCGUAAAGCGAGUGUAGGCGGGCGCUUAAGUCCGUUGUGAAAUCUCCCGGCUUAACUGGGAGGGGUCAAUGGAUACUGGGCGUCUUGAGUGAGGUAGGGGGCAGUGGAAUUCCCGGUGUAGCGGUGAAACGCGUAGAUAUCGGGAGGAACACCUAUGGCGAAGGCAGCCUCCUGGGCCAACAUUGACGCUGAGACGCGAAAGCGUGGGGAGCAAACAGG